GCCAGAGUGCGACGGGUGAGUACACGUAAGCAACCUGCCUUUAAGACGAGAAUAACAAUUGGAAACAGUUGCUAAGGCCGGAUAGGAAAUAAAAAGGCAUCUUUUUAUUUUUAAAAGACCUUUUUCGGAAGGUAUGCUUAAAGAGGGGCUUGCGUCACAUUAGUUAGUUGGUAGGGUAAAGGCCUACCAAGACGAUGAUGUGUAGCUGGACUGAGAGGUUGAACAGCCACAUUGGGACUGAGACACGGCCCAAACUCCUACGGGAGGCAGCAGUAGGGAAUUUUCGGCAAUGGAGGAAACUCUGACCGAGCAACGCCGCGUGAACGACGAAGUACUUCGGUAUGUAAAGUUCUUUUAUUGAAGAAGAAACAAUAGUGGAAAAACUAUCUUGACGUUAUUCAAUGAAUAAGCCCCGGCUAACUAUGAGCCAGCAGCCGCGGUAAUACAUAGGGGGCGAGCGUUAUCCGGGAAUUAUUGGGCGUAAAGGGUGCGUAGGCGGUUUAAUAAGUCUCUAGUUUAAUUUCAACGCUUAACGUUGUCGUGCUAGAGAAACUGUUUAACUAGAGUGAGAUAGAGGUAAGCGGAAUUCCAUGUGUAGCGGUAAAAUGUGUAAAUAUAUGGAGGAACACCAGAGGCGUAGGCGGCUUACUGGGUCUUUACUGACGCUGAUGCACGAAAGCGUGGGGAGCAAACAGGAUUAGAUACCCUGGUAGUCCACGCCGUAAACUAUGAGUACUAAGUGUCGGGGUUAAACUCGGUACUGAAGUUAACACAUUAAGUACUCCGCCUGAGUAGUACGUACGCAAGUAUGAAAUUUAAAGGAAUUGACGGGAUCCCGCACAAGCGGUGGAUCAUGUUGUCUAAUUCGAAGAUACACGAAAAACCUUACCAGGUCUUGACAUACUCUGCAAAGCUAUAGAAAUAUAGUGGAGGUUAUCAGGGAUACAGGUGGUGCAUGGUUGUCGUCAGCUCGUGUCGUGAGAUGUUAGGUUAAGUUCUAAAACGAGCGCAACCCCUGUCGUUAAUUGCCAGCACGUUAUGGUGGGGACUUUAGCGAGAUUGCCAAUGAAAAAUUGGAGGAAGGUGGGGAUUACGUCAAAUCAUCAUGCCCCUUAUGAUCUGGGCUACAAACGUGAUACAAUGGCUAUUACAAAGAGUAGCUGAAACGCGAGUUUUUGGCAAAUCUCAAAAAAAUAGUCUCAGUUCGGAUUGAAGUCUGCAACUCGACUUCAUGAAGUUGGAAUCGCUAGUAAUCGCGAAUCAGCAUGUCGCGGUGAAUACGUUCUCGGGGUUUGUACACACCGCCCGUCAAACCACGAAAGACAGCAGGUC
RNAcentral lists this ribosomal RNA (1332 nucleotides) under Lethal yellowing phytoplasma. RNAcentral describes it as "bacterial SSU rRNA". It matches the Rfam family "Bacterial small subunit ribosomal RNA", at positions 91 to 1420 of the family's 1533-position model. The record is from RNAcentral. Lineage: Bacteria; Bacillati; Mycoplasmatota; Mollicutes; Acholeplasmatales; Acholeplasmataceae.